This is a long non-coding RNA of Felis catus (domestic cat), 742 nucleotides long. RefSeq lists it as uncharacterized. The record is from RefSeq and is a predicted model, not a curated record. NCBI's taxonomy places the organism in Eukaryota, Metazoa, Chordata, Mammalia, Carnivora, Felidae. The transcript is spliced from 2 exons.
UGACCCGAGCUGAAGUCGGACGCUCAACCAACUGAGCCACCCAGGCACCCGAAAAAUGCCAAAUUUGAUGAAAAACAUAAAUAUAAACAUCCCAGAAGCUCAACAAACUCCAAUUAAGAUGGACUAAAAGAUACAUCCUCACCAAGACACAUUAUAAUUAAACUUCUGAAAGCCAAAGAUAAAGAGAAACUCUUGAAAACAGCAAGAGAGAAAAAAUUCAUCACAUACAAAGAAUUUUUAAUAUGUUAACAGAUUUCUCAUCAGAAACUUUGGAGGCCAGAAGGCAGUGGGCCAAUAUAUUCAAACUUCUCAAUGAAAAAAAACUAUCAGGCAAGAAUCCUGUGUCUAGUGAAACUGUCCUUCAAGAGUAAGGGAGAAAUUAAGACACUGAAGAUAAACAAAAGCUGUAAAAGUUCAUUGCUACUAGACCUGCCCUGCAAGAAAUGCUCAAGAGAGUCCUACAGGGAAAAAUGAAUGACACUUGACAGUAACCCAAAAUUGUAUAAAGAAACAGAAGUUUCGAUAAAGAAAUACAAAAGCCCACUUCAAAAUUUAGAUGGAAUCUCAAGGGAUCCAGAAUAGCCAAAACAAGCGUGAAAAAGAAAGAAGCUGAGGACACACACUUCCUAAUUUCAGAACUUGUUACACAACUGCAGUACUCAGAACAAUGUGACACUGGCUUAAAGCCAAACACACAAACUGAAUAGACAUCCCAGAAAUAAACCUUUACAUACAUGUCAAA